AUACUUAGCUGGCAGAGAAGUUAUCAUGACCACAAAGGUGGUUUCCCAGGGUGAGGCUUAUCCAUUAUCCUUGGGACAUUCUGACUCCGGUGUUUUCCCCAAAUGCAGAAAACUCAACUGCAUAAUGUGUGGAAGCGGAGACUAUGCUCACAUUCUCCCCUA
This is a small nuclear RNA of Peromyscus leucopus (white-footed mouse), 162 nucleotides long. RefSeq annotates it as U1 spliceosomal RNA. The transcript has a single exon. The record is from RefSeq and is a predicted model, not a curated record. NCBI's taxonomy places the organism in Eukaryota, Metazoa, Chordata, Mammalia, Rodentia, Cricetidae.